UCUCCUGGAAACGGGUGGUAAUGCCGGAUGCUCCGACUCCUCGCAUGGGGUGUCGGGAAAGAUUCAUCGGUAUGGGAUGGGGUCGCGUCCUAUCAGGUAGUCGGCGGGGUAACGGCCCACCGAGCCUACGACGGGUAGCCGGCCUGAGAGGGCGACCGGCCACAUUGGGACUGAGAUACGGCCCAGACUCCUACGGGAGGCAGCAGUGGGGAAUAUUGCACAAUGGGCGCAAGCCUGAUGCAGCGACGCCGCGUGCGGGAUGACGGCCUUCGGGUUGUAAACCGCUUUUGAUCGGGAGCAAGCCUUCGGGUGAGUGUACCUUUCGAAUAAGCACCGGCUAACUACGUGCCAGCAGCCGCGGUAAUACGUAGGGUGCAAGCGUUAUCCGGAAUUAUUGGGCGUAAAGGGCUCGUAGGCGGUUCGUCGCGUCCGGUGUGAAAGUCCAUCGCUUAACGGUGGAUCUGCGCCGGGUACGGGCGGGCUGGAGUGCGGUAGGGGAGAC
Molecule: ribosomal RNA, 502 nt
Filed under: Bifidobacterium pseudocatenulatum
Lineage: Bacteria; Bacillati; Actinomycetota; Actinomycetes; Bifidobacteriales; Bifidobacteriaceae
Description: bacterial SSU rRNA
Rfam family: Bacterial small subunit ribosomal RNA
Source: RNAcentral